GAUGAAGAACGCAGCGAAAUGCGAUACGUAAUGUGAAUUGCAGAAUUGAGUGAAUCAUCGAGUCUUUGAACGCACAUUGCGCCCCCUGGUAUUCCGGGGGGCAUGCCUGUCCGAGCGUCAUUGCUGCCCUCAAGCACGGCUUGUGUGUUGGGCCUCCGUCCUCCUCCCGGGGGACGGGCCCGAAAGGCAGCGGCGGCACCGCGUCCGGUCCUCGAGCGUAUGGGGCUUCGUCACCCGCUCUUGUAGGCCCGGCCGGCGCUUGCCGACACAUCAAUCUUUUUUCCAGGUUGACCUCGGAUCAGGUAGGGAUACCCGCUGAACUUAAGCAUAUCAAUAAGCGGAGGA
RNAcentral lists this unclassified non-coding RNA (345 nucleotides) under soil metagenome. RNAcentral describes it as "partial contains 5.8S ribosomal RNA, internal transcribed spacer 2, and large subunit ribosomal RNA". The stretch from base 1 to 120 matches the Rfam family "5.8S ribosomal RNA", at positions 35 to 154 of the family's 154-position model. The record is from RNAcentral.